RNAcentral lists this long non-coding RNA (2714 nucleotides) under Vigna radiata. RNAcentral's name for it is "long non-coding RNA (VRAD_LNC011618)". Lineage: Eukaryota; Viridiplantae; Streptophyta; Magnoliopsida; Fabales; Fabaceae. The record is from RNAcentral.
UCUCAACAACCAAUCCCAAACCAAUCAUGCUCAACAAGCAUAUAAUAACCAAUCAACAUUUCUCAAUUUCAAUUCUAUCUACUUACCAAAGUAGCAUAGAUUAACCAAGUUACAUUUUUAUAANUUAUCACACAUAAUCAAUUACAAUCCAUUUCAUCUAACAAUCCCAUUCCAGUCAUGCUCAACAACCAAUUAAUAAUCAACAUAAUAUCAAUCCAAACAUAUCAUCAAUUCGUUUUGCCUACUUACCAAAGUANCGGAUACUCAAGAGAAUACUCAUCUCCAAACUCAAUUCACAAUCACAAUCUAAUAAUCCUUAAUCAUACUUAACAAAGUAUUUCACAUACAUCUCCUUAUCAACGCAAUUAAACUUACAGUUUAAUUAUCCUCAACCAUACUUAACAAAGUAUUUUCACAUACAACUCAUUUCCACAUCACCUAAUCCAUCAUUCACAAUCAAAUUCACAACUUUCUUCAUGGCAACACUGAUUACCGAAACUUAGGUAACUCAAACAGCUUGGAGACCAUCACCAAUGGUUCCGGAAGGGUCAAAAACCUCCAGAACGACCUAAAGAACGUCCAAAACGGACACCCGUAACCCCCAAAACCAUCAAAACAGAUUUAGUAGUGCGCAGAUGCAGGGUUAAUCGAUUAACCAUGAUAGUUAAUCGAUUAACUGUUUAUAUUUUACCCAAAAACUCAUUCAAAACAGCAUAGAAACCACCAACACUUUCCCUUAUCGCAAUUUCUUUUCCAGAAUGGUAUAAAACCAAGAUUUAACAUCAUAUCAACAUAUAAAAUGAUUUUCAAAUAUCUUUUCAUCAAGAUUUACAAUCAUCAAACACUUAGCAUCAUAGAAUCAAGAUCAAACAAUACCACUAAGUCCAAUACCAAAAUUUCCAGCAUAGAUUCAACACUUCUAACAUGUUUUAAAAUAUAUCUGGAGUCUGAAAUUUGCUUCCCAAACAACUACAAAUAUCAUAGACAUCAAACAUCCAUUUUCUCAUGCAAAAUCAACUAUUUUUGUUACACACAAAACAUAUUUUUCUGCAAAAUUUUCCAACAACUUUCAACCCACCACAACAACUCCAAAACAUGUUAAAUCCAUCUCAAAACAGUUUACAUACUUCAUCCAUUUAUCAAUUCAUCAAAAUAGAUUUGAAAUAAUAUAAUACUUAAGUGAGUUUACCAAAACUCAUCACCAAUUCUACUCAUCAAAACAAACUUCUAAAUCCAUCAUUUCUCAUCACAUAAAACUUUACAACAUCAAAAUCUUGAAGGUUUACUUAUCAUACUUCCACCUUGUUAAGACAUCCACACCAUCCAAAUCAAUCCAGCCAUCCAAAAUUCAUCAACCACCCAAAAUAGCCAAUUUUCGUAUACAAUCAAAAGUGAAGUAAAACCACCAUGUAUCUCAUCCCAUUUUCCAACCCAAUCCAUCAAAAACUUCAUAUACAUGUAUACUAACAUGCAAGAACGAAAAUCCAUCAUCAAUUCAUCAUAGAUCCAUCAAUUCCCACCAAACUUUCAUCAUGUAAUUUAAUCAAGAUUCAAAGAUCAAAAUUGUAGUAAAAGAUUCAUUCAAAUCAACUUCUUGAAAUCAUAUCAUGCAAAUCUCAAUUUCUCAUUCUCAAAUCUUUAAUACCCCACUUCCACCCAUAAGAAACAACAUACUCAUCAAGUAAAUUCUGCACAUACAAAAAAAAAUAAAAGAGGCAAGUUAGCUCCCCUUACCUCUUGAAGAUCUCUUUUGGACACUUCAACUUCUUCUUCCAAGAGAGCAACUCUUCUCCCCCUUGCUAGACCAAGUCAUCUCCCAUCCUUUGGACACUUAGAAUUUUCGUGCUCUCCUCUCCAAGAGCCUCUUUCCUCUGNCCAAAAACUCCAGACCAGAUUUUAGGCUAAAAGAAAUGAGCCUAGACAACCAAGGACCCCUCCCCAUCACAAACAACCAUUUAAUUUUGUAAAGUAGGUCUUCCCAUGCUCCUCCCAUGCUCAAGGGACCAAAAUGUUGGAUCUGGAUCAGAUUCCCUACCUUUCCACGCAAUUCCCAUGUGGUUCCAACGUUUUGUCUUGAAAAGAAAGAGUAAGUUACCCUUGGGCGCUAGUCCUUCUGACAGUAACGUUUUCAUGACUUAUCCUAUCCGGUUGGAACCCUUCCCGAACUCCAAAAAUUAUGUAUGAGUACUCAAAUUGAAGCUCUUUGAGUCUAGUUUUCAAUAAAAAAAACAUCAACUCAUUUGGAGUUCUAUAGAGAGAGUAAUGAGCAAUUUAGUCAGCAAAGGUCAAAUCUGGAAAGCACCAGAACGUGAGUAAAUUUACGAGUUUUAAACAUUUUACUGCAGUUAGUAUAGUUGUNNAAAAAUUAUGAUUCNGGUGCCCCAAGAAAGAUGUUUAAGUCUAGAAUCCAAUAAAACAAGAAUUAACUAAUUCGGAGUUCUGUGGAGNGAGUUAUGAAUAAAACACUGACCAAAGGUCAAGGCUGAAAAUUACCAGAACGUGAUCACAAUUACGUUUUUUACAAAUUUUACUGCAGCUAGCCCCGUUGUCCAAAAAUUGUGAUUUUAGUGUCCAAAGAAAGACAUUGGAGUCUACUUUCCAAUGCAACAAGAAUCAACUCAAUANCACAUGUGUACAAAAAGUUAUAAUUAAAAUACUAAACCAAGUCAAACCUGACAGCAUUGUAUUUUACAAUAUAACUUGAAUUUUGACAC